RNAcentral lists this long non-coding RNA (957 nucleotides) under Felis catus (domestic cat). Its description in RNAcentral is "lncRNA (ENSFCAG00000047662.1)". The record is from RNAcentral. Lineage: Eukaryota; Metazoa; Chordata; Mammalia; Carnivora; Felidae.
AUGCGAGCAGAGCGCCCCAGGGAGGUCGGAGACGCAAAAGGACCAAGUUCAGCAAGACCCAGUACCAGGUGCUCAUCGAGGCCUUCGAGAGGGACUCAUACCCUGAUAUCACUGCCAGAGAAGAACUGGCUCGACGAACCCAGAUCCCUGAGCCCAGAAUCCAGGUCUGGUUUCAGAACCGGAGAGCCCGAAUCCCCAAGAGCAACCAGAGGAGGCCAGGCGUGGAGGCAGGUGCCCAGGCGCCAGGGUCCGGUCAGCACGGCAGGGGCGCCCCCCACUGCGCCUGCCAGCCAAGCUUUGUGGGGGCCCCGAGCACCGCUGGCCACUUCUUGGCGUCGGAGGGCACUUCUGGUCAGGCCAUCCCAUCGGGGCACGCUGCUGUCGUGGACGAGAACGUGGCCUUGCAUGACGUGGAGACUCCAGGCAGCGCACUGGGCGAGCCUUCCGGAGAUUUCUAUCUCUCUCCCUUGGGCUUCAGCCCCGAAGCCCUGUGUCCGUUUCCUGCUUCCCUGCAGCCCCUCUCCCAGCCGGAAGAAACCGGAGCUCAGUGGGGGGACCUGGGACAGCUCCUGCCCUACGGGGACUGUGCCCUGCAGGGCUGGGAACAGCCUCCCGCCUCCAGUGAGCCGCAGCCGCAGCCGUGGUGGGGCUGGCAGCCUUCGCCCUCACUGGAGCGAGACGUGUUGCCCCCACAGCCCCAGCCCCCGGGGCCCUGGGAGCAGCCAGCAUGGCCCCUGCCCCCCACGGAGCCCUGGCCCCAGCCGUCACUGGAGCAGGUGCCCAUGGGCGUCGGGAGCAGUUUCCCCACCCCCCUGGGACACGGGAUGCUUGAGGGAGGCCCCGGGGCCCCCACACACCCCGGCCCCCAAUCCCGCAGCUGUGGGGCCAUGCUGGGAGCUGCUGCUACAGCGAAACGUUGAAAUGACUUCAGCUCCAAUGGUAGGAGAUAGUGAGUGA